CAGCAGCCGCGGUAAUCCGUAGGUGGCAAGCGUUGUCCGGAAUUAUUGGGCGUAAAGGGCUCGCAGGCGGUUUCUUAAGUCUGAUGUGAAAGCCCCCGGCUCAACCGGGGAGGGUCAUUGGAAACUGGGAAACUUGAGUGCAGAAGAGGAGAGUGGAAUUCCACGUGUAGCGGUGAAAUGCGUAGAGAUGUGGAGGAACACCAGUGGCGAAGGCGACUCUCUGGUCUGUAACUGACGCUGAGGAGCGAAAGCGUGGGGAGCGAACAGGAUUAGAGACCCCUGUAGUCCCUGUCUCUUAUAC
This 301-nucleotide ribosomal RNA is filed under the name uncultured bacterium. RNAcentral describes it as "partial 16S ribosomal RNA". It matches the Rfam family "Bacterial small subunit ribosomal RNA", at positions 509 to 807 of the family's 1533-position model. The record is from RNAcentral.